UGGGGAAUAUUGGACAAUGGGGGCAACCCUGAUCCAGCCAUGCCGCGUGAGUGAUGAAGGCCUUAGGGUCGUAAAGCUCUUUCGCCUGUGAAGAUAAUGACGGUAGCAGGUAAAGAAACCCCGGCUAACUCCGUGCCAGCAGCCGCGGUAAUACGGAGGGGGUUAGCGUUGUUCGGAAUUACUGGGCGUAAAGCGCACGUAGGCGGUCUAAUCAGUCAGUGGUGAAAGCCCUGGGCUCAACCCAGGAAUUGCCUUUGAUACUGUUAGACUAGAGUUCGGGAGAGGAUAGUGGAAUUCCAAGUGUAGAGGUGAAAUUCGUAGAUAUUUGGAGGAACACCAGUGGCGAAGGCGGCUCACUGGCUCGAUACUGACGCUGAGGUGCGAAAGUGUGGGGAGCAAACAGGAUUAGAUACCCUGGUAGUCCACACCGUAAACGAUGAAUGCCAGUCGUCGGGUAGCAUGCUAUUCGGUGACACACCUAACGGAUUAAGCAUUCCGCCU
RNAcentral lists this ribosomal RNA (501 nucleotides) under uncultured bacterium. RNAcentral's name for it is "bacterial SSU rRNA". It matches the Rfam family "Bacterial small subunit ribosomal RNA", at positions 355 to 874 of the family's 1533-position model. The record is from RNAcentral.